CCCUUAGAUGUCCUGGGCCGCACGCGCGCUACACUGACAUGUUCAACAAGUUUCUCCUAGUUCGACAGGACUGGGAAAUCUUUGAACGCAUGUCGUGAUAGGGAUAGAUCAUUGCAAUUAUUGAUCUUGAACGAGGAAUUCCUAGUAAACGCGAGUCAUCAGCUCGCAUUGAUUACGUCCCUGCCCUUUGUACACACCGCCCGUCGCACCUACCGAUUGAAUGUUUCGGUGAAGAUUCCGGAUAGGACUGAUUUGAUUUAUUUCAUUUCUGGCCUAAAAGCUAUCUAAACCUCAACAUUUAGAGGAAGGUGAAGUCGUAACA
Molecule: ribosomal RNA, 322 nt
Filed under: uncultured eukaryote
Lineage: Eukaryota
Description: partial 18S ribosomal RNA
Rfam family: Eukaryotic small subunit ribosomal RNA
Source: RNAcentral